RNAcentral lists this ribosomal RNA (255 nucleotides) under uncultured bacterium. Its description in RNAcentral is "partial small subunit ribosomal RNA". It matches the Rfam family "Bacterial small subunit ribosomal RNA", at positions 26 to 286 of the family's 1533-position model. The record is from RNAcentral.
AGGGCGAACGCUGGCGGCGUGCUUAACACAUGCAAGUCGAGCGGAAAGGCCCUUCGGGGUACUCGAGCGGCGAACGGGUGAGUAACACGUGAGCAACCUGCCCUUAGCUUCGGGAUAGCUCCGGGAAACCGGAAUUAAUACCGAAUAUGACUUUGGCUGACAUCAGCAGAAGUGGAAAGUUUUUCGGCUAGGGAUGGACUCGCGGCCUAUCAGCUAGUUGGUGAGGUAACGGCCCACCAAGGCGACGACGGGUAG